Molecule: transfer RNA, 73 nt
Filed under: Chamaesium wolffianum
Lineage: Eukaryota; Viridiplantae; Streptophyta; Magnoliopsida; Apiales; Apiaceae
Description: tRNA-Val
Rfam family: tRNA
About the family: Transfer RNA (tRNA) molecules are approximately 80 nucleotides in length.
Source: RNAcentral
AGGGCUAUAGCUCAGUUGGUAGAGCACCUCGUUUACACCGAGAGAGUCUACGGUUCGAGUCCGUAUAGCCCUA